UUUCGUUUAAACCAAUAUUGGCCAAUAUAAAAAACAAAAUGUGUCAAUUCAUUUGAAGCCAAUGAUACUUGGCCAUGUCUGAGAGUGUGGAGUGGGUCCCCAUGAUUGUCAAGAAAAAAAAAAGAAUGCACUCACAGAAACCUAAACUAGAAAUUUAAGACCAACGGUAAUGGCAAGUACGUGUGCAUGACAAAUGUGUGUGUGUGUGUGCAGAAAGAAACACAUGCAGCAAAAGGAAAUGCAACUAAAGAAACUCAGCCAGUCAGCCAGCCAUCGAAUAAAACAGGAAACCAAAUAGUCAGCCUUCAAAUACAUCUAUUAUAUAUAUAAACUGCAAAACAACAAUAACGUUUUAAUUGCUAUCUAAAAAAAACACAAAAAAGUGAAAAAUAAAAAAAAAAAAUUAUCAAAUAAAUUUGUCACUAACAACAUUUUAAACAAUUACACACUACCCACACUAACACUAACUGUACGAAGUCAAGCACACAGACAUGCUAAAUAAUAAAUGUGUGGAAAAUUUAUGGAACAUGAUAAAAAUUUGUUAAAACAAAAAAAAAACAAUUCAGCCAUUAAACAGACAAACAACUGCAUACAAAGUAGUUUUUAUAUACUAUAAAUGAAAUAAAACAAAAAACAACAACUCUAGAAAUGAUGGCCAAAUCUAAAGUAAAUAAAAUAUAUGAACCAUGUAAUCAACAACAGAACCAGAAACACCAGCAGCAACAACAACAAACAGGAUUACAAAGUGACAAACAACAACAACGACGACACAACAACAACAUUGGUCAUUAAUUAUAGUGUGUGAAUUGUUUAAAAAAAAACAACAACAAACAAACAAAUAAAUAAAAAAACACAUAAACAAAAACAAAAGGUUGAAAGCCAACAUUAACAAAAACUACCUAUAUUUAGAACAACAUCAAACAAACGAUAACGGAACAAUUGAACAAAAUAAUAACAACAACAACAAUAUCAGAGGUAAAAACACAAGCAGCAAAAAUAAUAACAAAUAAAUUAACCAAACAAUUAAAAAAACAUAAACACACAGAGCAAAAAAAUAUUGUAGAAAAAGAAAACAAACAAUAAACGAAUGAACGAGCAGCAAUGAACAGAAAAAAAAUACAAGUGAUUUCUACCUUUUGAAAUCAAAAACACAAACAUUCAAAGUGAACAAAACGAAACACACACACACUAACAGCAACAACAACAGCAACAAAAUAACACGAAUCCAGCACCCCAAAGGCUUUUUUUAAUACAAACAUAUUAACCCACAUACACACACACACAUCUCAUUGCAAUAUUGGUGGAAAAUAUAAACGAAAAAUAAAAACGACAACCAGCAA
Molecule: long non-coding RNA, 1340 nt
Organism: Calliphora vicina (urban bluebottle blowfly)
Lineage: Eukaryota; Metazoa; Arthropoda; Insecta; Diptera; Calliphoridae
Exons: 3
Source: RefSeq, a predicted model, not a curated record